GUCUUUUUGAAAAUAAUUUAAAGUCUAAUCUGCCCACUGAUUUUUAAUUAAAGGGCUGCAGUAUUUUGACUGUACAAAGGUAGCAUAAUCAAUAGUCUCUUAAUUGGUGACUUGUAUGAAAGAUUUGAUGAAAUAUAAACUGUCUCUAUUAAAUUUAUAAAAUUUAAUUUUUUAGUUAAAAAGCUAAAAUAUGUUUAAAAGACGAGAAGACCCUAUAGAGUUUUAUAAUUUAUUUAUUUUUAAUUUUGUUUAAAUAUUAAAAUUAAAAAUAAAUGAAUUAUUUUAUUGGGGUGAUAGAAAAAUUAAAUAAACUUUUUUUAAAAUUUUUACAUUAAUAUAUGGUUAUAUGAUCCGUAAAUUACGAUUAAAAGAUUAAAUUACCUUAGGGAUAACAGCGUAAUUUUUUUUUUUAGUUCAAAUAAGAAAAAGAGUUUGCGACCUCGAUGUUGGAUUAAGAUAAAAUUUAAAAUGCAAAAGUUUAAAAUUUUUGAUCUGUUCGAUCAUUAAAAUCUUACA
This 516-nucleotide ribosomal RNA is filed under the name Allancastria deyrollei. RNAcentral's name for it is "partial 16S ribosomal RNA". The stretch from base 388 to 516 matches the Rfam family "Bacterial large subunit ribosomal RNA", at positions 2473 to 2600 of the family's 2925-position model. The record is from RNAcentral. Lineage: Eukaryota; Metazoa; Arthropoda; Insecta; Lepidoptera; Papilionidae.